RNAcentral lists this ribosomal RNA (480 nucleotides) under uncultured bacterium. RNAcentral's name for it is "bacterial SSU rRNA". It matches the Rfam family "Bacterial small subunit ribosomal RNA", at positions 28 to 507 of the family's 1533-position model. The record is from RNAcentral.
GACGAACGCUGGCGGCGUGCCUAACACAUGCAAGUCGAGCGGAGUCGAUUGACGGAAGCCUUCGGGCGGAAGAUGGUUGACUUAGCGGCGGAUGGGUGAGUAACGCGUGGGCAACCUGCCUCGAAGACCGGGAUAACAGCCCGAAAGGGCUGCUAAUACCGGAUGUGGUCAAGGAUCCGCAUGGAUUUUUGAUUAAAGGGGAAACCCGUUUCGAGAUGGGCCCGCGUCCUAUCAGCUAGUUGGUGAGGUAAAAGCUCACCAAGGCGACGACGGGUAGCCGGCCUGAGAGGGUGACCGGCCACACUGGAACUGAGACACGGUCUAGACUCCUACGGGGGCAGCAGUGGGGAAUCUUCCACAAUGGGCGAAAGCCUGAUGGAGCGACGCCGCGUGAGCGAAGAAGGCCUUCGGGUGUAAGCUCUGUCUGGAGGGACGAAGGAAGUGACGGUACCUCCGGAGGAAGCCACGGCUAACUACGUG